GCCCUGAAAAAAAUUCAGGGUGAAACCUGCCCAAUGAUUUUUAAUUAAAUAAUAGUAAAAGUAUUAUAAUAAAAUUUAAAGGACGCGGUAACCUUGACUGUGAUAAUGUAGCAUAAUCACUCGCCAUUUAAUUGAUGGAUAGUAUGAAUGGUUAAACGAAUAUUACACUGUCUCAAAAAGAGAUUUUAUAAAAUUGAAAUAAUAGUUAAGAUGCUAUUUAAAAUUGUAAGACGAAAAGACCCUAUAGAGCUUAACUAUAUUAUCUUUUAAAAAAAUGAAAAAUAAAUUCUAAAAUAAAGAUAAAGGUAGUUUAGUUGGGGCGACUAUCUUCUAAAAAUAACGAAGAUAAACAAUAUUAAUAAUAUAAUUUAUUGUAUAAUUCAUAAAUUUAACAAUUACCAAAGUAGGUUAUAGUGACCCGUUAAAAUCUAAUAAAAAAUUUAACGAUAAAUAAAUAAAAGCUACCUUAGGGAUAACAGGAUAAUUUUAUUCUAGAGAUCUAAUCGAAAAUAAAGUUUGUCACCUCUAUGUUGAAUUAAGAUAUCCAAAUAAUGCAGAAGUUAUUAAAGGUAGGUCUGUUCGACCUUUAAAAUCUU
Molecule: ribosomal RNA, 596 nt
Filed under: Thecocodium quadratum
Lineage: Eukaryota; Metazoa; Cnidaria; Hydrozoa; Anthoathecata; Ptilocodiidae
Description: partial 16S ribosomal RNA
Rfam family: Bacterial large subunit ribosomal RNA
Source: RNAcentral